This 225-nucleotide long non-coding RNA is filed under the name Glycine max (soybean). RNAcentral's name for it is "long non-coding RNA (GMAX_LNC000568)". The record is from RNAcentral. Lineage: Eukaryota; Viridiplantae; Streptophyta; Magnoliopsida; Fabales; Fabaceae.
AGCGGAAGACAAAGGAAAAGAGGUGAGAGGAGGCGCCAUCCAUUAAGGAAUAAGCCAUGGAAGAAAGAGUUUCACCACCAAGAUGAGCCUUGGAUAAGAAGCUUGGAGAGGAUGCUUCAAUGGAGGAAAAGAAAGAGGGAGAGAAAGAGAGAGGGGGGAGCACGAAAUUGAAGGAAGAAAAAGGGAAAGAAGUUGAACUUUCAGUUGUGUCUCACAAGAGUCUCA